CUCCACGCGUCAGCAGCAGGAGCCUCCUCCUCCUCCCCCGGUUAUGUUUUAUUCGAGAAUAGAUCACGGAUCCAUGCAGAGAGCGCGCCGGGCAGCUCGCGAGCCGAGACGGGGCCAACCAGAGGCUUCGAGACGAGGAGACAAAGAGCCGGGAGAGAGAGCAGGAGACGAGGAAGGGGACAAUCUAGAAAACAUUCAUUGACGCGUUCGUCGGCGAGAUCGGUGAGAGGCGCCCACAGAUCAUCAGGGAGGAGGGGAGGCUGAGCAGAGGGGGCCAUGGAAGGUUCAUACGGAGAGGCGACACGACGCGGGGCGGGGAGUGCAUCGCUGCGAUAAGGAGGACGAGAGGACAAAGCGAACUGGCAGCGCACACGGCAUCACCAUCACUACUCCCCCACCACCACCAUCACCCCCGUCACCAGAUUCACCAUCACCACCAUCACUACCCUCAUACCCGGCGCGUCGGCGUGCGCGCUUGAGGCUGCUGUUUCAGCCGGGCAGGCUGCAGCUGCUGCUGCUGUAUUCGGCAGGGGGGCUGUAGGAGUAGGGCGGGCUAGAGCAGGCGUGGUGGGUGUAUGAGCCUGCAGUCUCGGCUGGCGGAGUGAGCCAAGCGAGCGGCGAGGCAGCAUGCUGUACGUGCAGCUGGUGCUGGGCGCCGGCACGGUGCUGCUCGCCUACCACCUCGAGUGCUCCGACACGUUCCCCGUGACGCAGCGCGGCUUCUUCUGCUGGGAGCGCGCCCUGGCGGCCCCGGACCCGGGUCCCGAGGCUCGGGGGGCCGCGCCCCCCGCCAUCCUCUACCCCAUCCUCGCCGCGCUGCCCUGCGCCACGAUUCUCGUCGUGGAGCUCGCCCAGUACGUGCUGGAGACCUCGGCCAAGCACGUCGUGUACGAGCCUCCGCCCGAGGCGCCGGGGGACCACUGCCACGUGAACGCGCUGCUGCGCCGCAUCGGCAAGCUCGCCGGACUCUUUCUCUACGGCUUGCUCGCCACGGACAUUUUUGCCAACGUCGGGCAGGUGGUUAGCGGAGGGCUGACGCCCCACUUCCUGAGCGUGUGCAAGCCCAACUACACGGCGCUGCCCUGCCACGCCGCCUCGGUGGGGGUCGGCGGCGGCGGCGUCUUCAUCACGGACCCGGCGGCGUGCACCGGCAGCCCCGAGCUGGUGGCGCGCGCGCGCCUCUCCUUCCCCUGCAAGGAGGCGGCCUUCAGCCUCUACUCGGCCGUCUACACCGUGCUGUACGUGACCAGCACGAGCAAGCGCUGGGGGAUCCGGCUCGUGAAGCCGACCUGCUGCCUGGGCCUCAUGGGCCUGGGCCUCAUCGUGGGCCUAGUGCGGAUCGGCGAGCACCGCAACCACUGGGCCGACGUCAUCACCGGCUACACCAUCGGCGCCGGCAUCGCCACCUUCCUGUGCUGCUGUGUGGUGGGGAACUUCAAGCGGAAGCGCUACACCAAGCCGUGGAAGAGCAAGCCGGCUGGCUUCCACGGCGCCAAGGUGUCCAGCCGGGGGAGCCACCACGUGCACAUCACAAACUCGUUCCAGAACCACCCGGCAGGCGGCUUCCUGUCAGAAGUGCUGGAGCCGUGACCAGGGUCCUGGCGGCAGCUCUCAAACUCUCACCAUCGCACCUCCCUCCUUCAUCCAGUUGUUUAUUUACACAUUUGCUUCGAGGAUACACAGGCAUCAUUGUUACCUAGUCAACACCAAAAUAGAACAGACUGUGUGUGAGGGCAAGAUGUUGGGAGGUGUGAGGACUGGGAGUUGAGAGCUGGGGUGCAGCAGCAUGAGAUUAUGCCGAUGCACACAAUGGGGAUUUGGCUUCAAUGCUCGGUGAUCAUCUCUUGCUGCACAGACGGCCGUGCCACCACCCCCCCACCCCUGCCCCUCCGGCAGGAUUAUGGCCGAGCACAGGAAGAGGCACUGAAGACAACAGCAGCACUUAGCCACGAGCCGAACCCCGGCACGUCUGCCUCCACGCAAUCCCACCACGAGACGCCGCACCACCGGGGCUGCGUGUCAAGGGGAGAGACCACAAUUGGAGUUGUUGGAGAGCCCUGGCAUUGUGAACGGACACCGCUGGCGAUGAUCUGCAGGGGCUCUGCAUGCGUUUCUACAUUUCUCACCUUCACCGCAUGGCGCAAGACAACAAAGAGGGGAAUUUGACAAAUGUCGGGCCCAGAUUGUGCCAUGUGCACUGAAUUGGCGUGGCAUUCAAAACACAUCCCAGGCUCGCGCUUUUCAAACGAGUCUGUUUACUUGCACAUGUGCGCGUGUAAUUGCGCUGCAGUGAUGGUGCCAUUGCGAAACAAUGCCCGUGUGCCAAUUGACGCCACUCAAGUAAAUGGGCAGUGAGCAGUGCUCUGAGAGCAGCAGUGGGAUACACGACUCGUUGGAAGUGGGCUGCUCCUUCACCGUGAGUCGCAUCGGGUUUGGUGUGGAGGCUCUCAGCAAUCCGGUCCGUCACGGCGCUCCACCACCCCACGCUCUCACGGCACGUGAUGCGUUCACCCCGCGUGAUGCCCGCCGACUUCACGUCUGUGCUGGGGUUCACCAACGUCGAGUGUGCAGGACGAUUAGCCACGACGGCGGCGUCAGGCGAGAAACCCCACAUAGUCUUCUUCACUCUUCACACAUUUUACGGCGAUGUUUAUUCCUGCAGAGACGUUAUGGGUUUCACUAACCCCGCGUGCAAUGUCUGAUCCGUUGUUGGUAAACGACGUUUGGUUCGCAGACAAUACUCGCGACACUCGCGACUCGGCGUGACUUCAGAUAGGACGCAGUCGGUGCCAUCCCUGUGCGACCGUGUAAAUGAAUGAUUCGAUGGCUUCCCCGACAUCUCCAUGUGUUCACUGACACGGAAAGUCUCGACUGUAAGGGGAAACAAAGCACAGGGUAUUGACAACGCAAGAAUGUGCGGUGGCUCGGCGGGAGAGCACGGAGCCAGCACGGAGCCAGCAGGGAGCCAGCAGGGAGCCAGCACGGAGCCAGCAGCACCGCGGAGACGUUAGUUCGAUUCCAGGCGGUGUUAGUCCGUGAUCUGUGCGGAGCGAGUCCGCGCCAUGCCUGAACUGGGAUGUGACCGCUCUGCGCAACGCGAAGUGGCGUCUGGCACGGGAGCGCGCCCUGCCCACGGCCCACCAGGAUGGCGGUGGUUUGUGGUGCACGUGAGCUCGAGGGUUGCUCCAAGAGUCUGGAGAAAUAAAAGCGCAGUUGGCGAAACUCUCGCGCGUUUGGGGUUCCUCCCGUCCGCGUUUGCGAGAGAAAGUCUCGACUUUGAGGUCGGCACCAAGGCAGCAUGAACAUCUCCACGUGACCCAGCUCGUGCCGAACUCGACGUUUUGAGGCAGGGUUCAUUUCACAGAUGCUGCUAAUUCCCGGUCCCUCUGGGUUUGACCCGAGACUGAUCGGGAAUUGGCACCACCGGCGUUCGGGUGACAGGAAUCUGUACCCAGAUCUGGUACCGGUGUUGUGUGUUGAACUGUGUCACAGUGAACUCGGGUGGUGAUAGACCAAGGUUGGCUGAGGAAUACGCCCCAGUUUGGUCUAAAGUGGACAGUUGGCAACCCUCUAACUUCUAUGCUUUCAAGCUCUGUGGUCCAGCAACCAAUUUAACUUGCCCAUUCACGUGUCACUGUGCUUACAGUGUGGCCACAUUCGUCAACAUUUGGUCAUUCUUGUUGGAGCAGAAGCUGCCACACACACGCGUCUUGUAUACAAGUGCACGCGCACACUUUAUAUAAGCUUGGCUGUCACGCGAGGCGUGGCCUGGGCAUUUAUAUUCUUUGAACUUCUUCUCUUGGAGCUGACAUUUCCUGCUAUAAGUUUUUCUGAUUAUUUCAGUAUUCCUUUGUAUUUAAUUUAUUGUAUUUAAUUUUUCGUGUUUAAUUUAUUUCAGGAGCUGGCAGCCGUCAGAGUUGACCGCUCGGCCAUCUGCCUGUGAACUGCGGGAGCGACGAGGUGGUGCAGCAUUAGCGACGUCUCCACGUUGACGGCAUCACCUGCCCCGGUCGAGGUCACGAUACACUGGGGCCAUAAUCCCCGGCACCCACCACGCUCCCUCUCGUGGGUGGCUUGUUGGGAAAUUCCAAUCGGAUCUUGGAGGCCGCAUGACGUUCUGUGCCCAGUGGACCGAUUAUUGCUCCAUCAAUCACCUUUCAGCCCACUCUCUUGUCAUAGGCUGGAUACGGCUCCGGCAUCGCUGCUCACAGUAUACGCGCUGUCACGGACAACCACCGUUGACAAUUACCCCCAAAAUACCCCCAAUAUAUAAUUGUCUAUCUACUGACGUGGCACAGCCUGCACUGGCACUGAGACGUCUGCAGCUUCAGGAAUGCUUGUGGGCACUGGGUCGAUGGAGAUCCACAGCAGAGCAAGCGGCUCAUUGACUCUCUACCCGGUGCGGCAACCAAUCCUCUCCUCGACAAGUUAACCUGUUACCCUCACAAAUGACUUGAUCCUUCGCAUUCCAGCCUACGGUACGCGCGUGUGUAUGUUGAAGCGUACGUAGCCAACCCCUUAUCCUCCACGCCCUCUGAUUGCCCUCCACCCCACACUCACCCUGCUCCCGCGACCCUGACCCCCACUCGGAGCCCCGAGUUCACCCUUCACCGCCCCCUCUGAGCCCCUACCCUGAGCGUGCCAGGGUGCCGAGGCCCGGGACGCCGCUCUACAUCCAAUUCCAUUCUUGUCGCUGCUGCUACCGCUUACGCAGGGAGCACAGAAUGAGUAGGAACAGAGUCACUGCUGCUGCUUACGCAGGGAGUACAGAAGGAGUAGGAACAGCGUCGCCGUAAUUAGUUUAGAGUCUUUGCGAGAUCUGGAUGAGUUUUUAUUCUUUAGAAUUUUGAGUCGUACUUGAAUGGUCAAAGUACACCAAUGCAUGUAUGUGAUGUGUACAUCACUGAGAGAAACUGAAUGCAGCUCGCAGCGCGGCUGUCGCCCUGGGAGGCUGCGAUCCACUGCGGCAAUUUGAGGGCAAAACAAUUCGCGCAGAAUUUCCCGUGGUCAACAAAAACAACGCGUUCUGAACAAACCCGUGUGGGUAGUGUUGGUGUGAUGGCAUGGUGGUGUGAAGGGCCACACUGGGCCAUUAUGGGCCUCUGGUCAUUGAAGAAGAUUCACAUCAACCACGAAUGGUUUGACGGCCUGUACAAUGUAAUCCCUGCAUUGCUAAGCACACGCGCGUACACACGCGCGUACAGACGGCAGUUAUUGACUUUGAAGAGAACUCUGUCACUCCGUUCUGUUGCCUGCCAAAUUGCCGCAGUCGCUCACGGGUAAUGUGUUGCCGGCAACGGCUGCCCGUGAAUGUGCCCGAGGGGAUGACGGCCGCGUGGGCGACGUGCCCAGGGGGGUGCGUGCGAUGUUGGGCGGUCAGACUCCCCGUGUCGCCCCCCCCCCCCAGCAAUGACCCAGGCCCCUGCCCGCUCCGGGAGUUGUGGUGAGAGGUCGCCACUGAGUUGAAGCGUCUCUCUUCCUAUUGCUGCUGAUAUGCGGCCUCGCUCCAAUUGGUUCACGUUUUUCUCUCGCGAUUCGCAUCAACGGUGAAUAAUCUGUUCUCUGUAACGCGCGGCGGAUAUUCGACGAUGUUUCUGCUGUCGCAGACACCGUCAUUGAAGGAACAGAAUCGUUAAAUCCAUCGGUGUGGCGCGAUUCCGCCGAGGCCACGCCGUGGGUGCCCGUGGGGCUCGUGGGGGCCGCGGCCGCCCCCGCUGGGACGAGCCGGCGGUUUGGACCCGAAGUGUUUUUUUUUUAUGAACAAGGUUUUGUAAAUUACAUACACGAGUGUAUUCGCGAAUGUCUUUUAAUGGCAAUCAAUAGCAAUGUGGUGUGUUGGGGGGGGGGUCUUUGUGAUUGAACCCGUGAGUGGAGGUGCCCCCACAAAAGCAAUACAGCGCGGCCGCGUGCCCCCCUCUCGAGGUUCGCGGCCGCGCCACGGAGCUGACCUCCCCCGGCUUCUUACAAUCAACAGGAAGAGGGACACGUCACAGGAUUGACUUAGACCCGUGGCAUUCAAGAGAACCCGCUGCUUCGGGGACAUUCGCUGAACUCCGUCUGGUGUCACGAACCGCCUCGUUCCGGGGGUCGCGCGAACGUUCGACCACCACACAC
This is an RNA transcript of Lethenteron reissneri (Far Eastern brook lamprey), 6114 nucleotides long. It is a transcript of the gene named phospholipid phosphatase related 5, with no coding region annotated. NCBI's taxonomy places the organism in Eukaryota, Metazoa, Chordata, Hyperoartia, Petromyzontiformes, Petromyzontidae. The record is from RefSeq and is a predicted model, not a curated record.